Molecule: ribosomal RNA, 407 nt
Filed under: uncultured bacterium
Lineage: Bacteria
Description: bacterial SSU rRNA
Rfam family: Bacterial small subunit ribosomal RNA
Source: RNAcentral
AGAGUUUGAUCCUGGCUCAGAAUCAACGCCGGCGGCGUGCCUAACACAUGCAAGUCGAACGAGAAAGUGGAGCAAUCCAUGAGUAAAGUGGCGACCGGGUGAGUAACACGUGACUAACCUACCUUCGAGUGGGGGAUAACCUCGGGAAACCGGGGCUAAUACCGCAUAAUAUCCACGGAUCAAAGGAGCAAUUCGCUUGAAGAGGGGGUCGCGGCUGAUUAGCUAGUUGGCGGGGUAAUGGCCCACCAAGGCUUUGAUCGGUAGCCGGCCUGAGAGGGCGCACGGCCACACUGGAACUGAAACACGGUCCAGACUCCUACGGGAGGCAGCAGUGGGGAAUUUUGCGCAAUGGGGGAAACCCUGACGCAGCAACGCCGCGUGGAGGAUGAAGUCCCUUGGGACGUAAA